Molecule: ribosomal RNA, 253 nt
Filed under: uncultured bacterium
Lineage: Bacteria
Description: partial 16S ribosomal RNA
Rfam family: Bacterial small subunit ribosomal RNA
Source: RNAcentral
UACGUAGGGUGCAAGCGUUGUCCGGAAUUAUUGGGCGUAAAGAGCUCGUAGGCGGCUUGUCACGUCGACUGUGAAAACCCGGGGCUCAACUCCGGGCCUGCAGUCGAUACGGGCUGGCUUGAGUGCGGUAGGGGAGACUGGAAUUCCUGGUGUAGCGGUGAAAUGCGCAGAUAUCAGGAGGAACACCGGUGGCGAAGGCGGGUCGCUGGGCCGUAACUGACGCUGAGGAGCGAAAGCGUGGGGAGCGAACAGG